CAACACAAAGAUGCAAAAACAAGCAGCAAGGCUAUGGGAGCUGGUUGUGCGGUGCUGCAUCAGGACCACAGGUGACAUGCCUGUCCGCGUUGUUGCAGGUCCUGGAACAACCUGUACUGUGUGCUCAGGAACAGCCAGCUGACCUUCUACAAGGACGCUAAGAACCUGGCCCUCGGGGUGCCCUACCAUGGAGAGGAGCCCCUGGCCCUGAGGCACGCCAUCUGUGAGAUUGCUGUCAACUAUAAGAAGAAGAAGCAUGUGUUUAAGCUGAGGUUAAGCAACGGCAGUGAAUGGCUUUUCCAUGGCAAGGAUGAGGAGGAGAUGCUGUUGUGGCUACAGGGCAUGAGCA
Molecule: long non-coding RNA, 349 nt
Filed under: Rattus norvegicus (Norway rat)
Lineage: Eukaryota; Metazoa; Chordata; Mammalia; Rodentia; Muridae
Description: long non-coding RNA NONRATT025126
Source: RNAcentral